AUUUCGACACAGCCCAAACAAUUCCAUUUCCUUAUUGUUGAACCAAAUCAAACCGCAAGAACCCUACCUGUCUUCCUCCUCACGCCAUUUCUUCUGAAAAUGGCUGAUUUAUUGCUGAAUUUCUUCAAUAACAUGAGCAACCUUCUCCCCAUUUAGCUGUUAAAUUUCGAAUCUCACCCAGAACCAGUUUUGCUCGGUUCUUGGCUCUCAAUCAAGCAACAAUAACCUUGUACAACCCUUUGUCCCCGAAAGCCUACCCUACAACACCUUUCUGCCUGAGACGUUGAACAAGCAGCGCCUACACCACCUUACGGUCGAGAGAAGAAGGCUGCCAGCCUUCUGUAUUGUGAAACGCAUGCAACCUAGCACUUUUUCCAUUCCCUGAUUUCCUUUAAGAAGCAUGUAAGAUUUGGUUUUCAUAAUUUUUGGUACUUGGCAGCAGUUUCUAAAGGAGACGAUAUCAUCGAAGAACCCUUCUAGUUGUUAGCUAGAUUCGUUACCUUGAAGCGACAUUAUCGUUUGAUUACAGAUCGGAACCGACCUAGAACGAUGGGUUAGCGAUGUUGAUUAGAGUGCCAAGGAUGUCAUAUUGAGCUGAGCAUGGGAAAUUUUGUAGUUUUGUAUUAGGUUUUUGGAUAAAUGUAUAUUAGACUUGGUUGUGUGGUUGUUAUAUUGGACUUAAAGUGAUUUGUUUGUUUACCUUGUGUUUAGAUUAGACGUUUGGUUUGAGAAUUAGCUGAGUUAGUUACGUUAAAGAGCUGGUGACCCUUUUGCUCAAGUUUUGGAAGUGUGUUUUAAGUUUCUUGGGAAAUGAACCCCGUGAUGACCCUAUUUACUCAGUCAACGGUAAGUCGGGUUGUUACACCCUGCAAUCUCCUUGAUGUUCUUAUGGGCAGCACCACAUAGCCUCCUGUACAAGUAUCCUAGGGCUGCGGAGCCCCAACUAUACUCGGCGAUGCGCUCCCAGGGGUCGUCAAGUAAAGUCAAAUAUAGGAGCUGUAUUUGAUUGUUUGUUUUAUCGGCAAACAAGACAACUAUCAAAUAUCUUCGAGGAGAUGCGAGAAGGUCUGAACCAGCCAUGUGCAGUGCAAAGCGCUCCCCCUGAUCACUUCUGCUGGAGGGUGCUCUCCCAAUAUGCGGUGCACCAUGUCACGCUAGCUUGAUAGUUGGCGUCUUGCUGUACACACGGCAUGUCCCUCAAUGGGAAGCCGUGUUAGUAAGGCUACAUCAAGCAGUGUGAUGGUAGCCUCACCUAGAGGAAGAUGAAAUGUGUGCGUCUCCUGACGCCAUCUCUCAACCAGUGCUGUGAUAAUAGCAUGGUCAACUCUGCCGUAUGCAAUGAGGUGAAAGUCAUACAACCUCGUAAGCUCCAGGUACGGGAUGAUCCUUUCAUCGAUCACCCACGGAACGGAAUCUGGAUGCCUAGUGCCUAACGUGUCUGUAUCGGACACCUAUGAAUAUAGACAUAUAAAUUAGUCACUUGUAUGUUAUCAUUAGUAAAACGCAAAUCAUUACUAUCGUACACCUAACCUGGGCAUCCCAAAAAGGAGUUCUCUUGUGCUCCUGCUGCAUAGUUAAUACACUAGGGUCUUGGAGCUGCUGGAUCCAUCUCCUUUACUACUGUGUGUGCAAUAACUUUAGUUAAUAUUACUAUUAUGUAUCAUACAUUUGUGUGGUAAGUUUAACAUUAUUAUAUAUGUUAUAGAGUAUCAUACUAGUAUAAUAUAUACAGUAUAUUCCCUGGAGUUACAGGUUCUAGUGUUGUGACCUUCACUCCCACACAACGACAAUUAUUUCGUUUCUUUUUUCCCUCAUCCAUUUCAUUGGCAAUUCUCUUAGACUUAGGCCUCCCUUUACCACGAAUUUGAUCGGGAUCACGUCUAAGUUCAAAGCCCGUGUAUUAAAGCCAUGACCUCUUAUCGAUCAAUGGCAUAAAGUAAUGUUCAUAUGUACUUGCAUAACUUUGAGAAGUAUAGCACGAAUCCACAAACCGCUCAUACGAAAGGUGUCGUUUGAUGCAAACAGCAAGUACAUGUGAACAAGGUAGGUGGUAUAUCUCAAGUUUGUUACAUGUGCACUUCAUUUGAUUCAAGUCCACAUGUUGAAUCUUACCCCCCUUAGACGAUCCUCUAUUUUCCCUCCCAGUCUUAUUUUCGAAUACACCUCUUCUAUAAUCAAAAGCGAUUAUGUCAUGGAAAUUUGCCUUCUCGGUGUUUCUAUUGAUAAUCGUGAUGGCAUGCGCUGUGUACAUGUGUCCUCCAAGUAAUCAUGCACUAGCAUGUUCACAUCUUUGAACAAAAUAAUCAUUUACCGAUAGG
Long non-coding RNA from Amaranthus tricolor (Joseph's coat), 2318 nucleotides. RefSeq lists it as uncharacterized. The transcript is spliced from 3 exons. The record is from RefSeq and is a predicted model, not a curated record. Lineage: Eukaryota; Viridiplantae; Streptophyta; Magnoliopsida; Caryophyllales; Amaranthaceae.